Molecule: long non-coding RNA, 1358 nt
Filed under: Callithrix jacchus (white-tufted-ear marmoset)
Lineage: Eukaryota; Metazoa; Chordata; Mammalia; Primates; Cebidae
Description: lncRNA (ENSCJAG00000076804.1)
Source: RNAcentral
UGAAGAAUGAUGUGGUGAUCACUAGAAAGAGAUUUUUUAAAAAGUUCGUGGUGACAUGAGUAUGUUCACAGGCUCAGAGAUCAACAAAUGAGGGACAAAAUAAGACAAUGUCUGAGAAGAGGCUACUGGGUUGAUGAACUCUGUGAGAACAGAGCCGAUGGAGUAGUAAGAAGCAAAUGAAGUGGGAGUAGUAGAUUUCAGUUCUAAAACUCCUCUGCUUAGCUUAGGGCUCAAAAUGUGAGGUUUCUGAGAGGUUUCAGGCUGCAGCUUGCAGUUCAGAGAAGAAUGUUCACAAGAAAAGUAGGAUAAAGGAAGAGGAAGUUGACUUAAACCACAAUAGGCCUGGCUCAGAUUAGAUGGGAGGCUCAACUUCCUGCCAGAGGAGCACCAGUUCAUGUGAAGAGAAGUGAGAAAAUCUCCUUAUUUGUGAUCCCCCAAAACUUAGAAAUAAUUCUCCUGCUUUGGAGUAAAAAUUGAUAUGAUCCAGCCUGAAGGCAUCAAAAGACUAAAAUGAAGCUUUCAAGUGGCAUGCAGAUGGAAGAAAAAUUGGUUUGAACUCCAGCUCAGCUGAUUACUUGAAACACCAAGGGCCCUUCAAAACACACAACCUUCUUGCUCACGGCAUAAAGCCCAGUUCCAUCUGGCCUCUGCAGGUUGGCUCAGCACUGGGGAACCAGUGUCCCCUCCAUGACCAAGGCACCACUCCACUGACAGAUACUUGGCUCACUCUGAGUGUUCAGAGAUUCCCAGACACCUACCUCUCCUACUUCUGACUCUGUUAAUCAGCUUGCUUGGCUGGUCUCCAACCACAGGUCCGGGGGAUGAGCCAAGGUCCUUUUGAGCUCCGGUAUGGGAACCUCUGGAAAGCUUAGCAACACUUUCCAACAACUUUGCCAGGUAAGUCUUCUUGUCCUCAUUUCCAGAGAAGACAACUGAAGCCCAAAGAAAGACUUGCCCAAGCCAUGAUUAUCUAGUUGACGACCAAGACAGCAUCAGAACACAAGUUUGUCUAAUUUUUUCAUACCAUAUCUGGUGACCAUAACUGCUGCUUUUGCUGCUGGGUGACUUAGGCUGGAUUGAGUAGGUAGAAAAGAGCCUUAGUUUUAAGGUUACUGAUAGAACUUAAAUUGAAGGGGUAUGUUACCCUCUUACAUUCAAUUAAAGAGUUGAACAAGAAAAAACAUUGAGUAUUUUCUUGCUGAAAGACAAGGCUGAAUCCCUCUGUCUUGCCUUGGCUGGGACAGGGCUUUCUGGUCUCAUGGGGGCAGUUUUCCAUUUUUGGUAACCUUGAGAUGUUUGCCACUUUUCAAUUGACAGUAUUUGAUGUAGACCAGCUACCUGCUCACAGAUAAACUGCC